ACGGGAGGCAGCAGUAGGGAAUAUUGCACAAUGGGGGAAACCCUGAUGCAGCAACGCCACGUGUGGGAAGAAGCAUUUCGGUGUGUAAACCACUGUCGUGAGGGAAUAAAGCUGGAGUUGUCCAGUUGAAUGUACCUCGAAAGGAAGCACCGGCAAACUUCGUGCCAGCAGCCGCGGUACUACGGGGGGUGCAAGCGCUGUUCGGAAUCACUGGGCGUAAAGGGAGCGCAGGCGGAAGUGCAAGCGGUCUGUACAAUACCGGGGCCCAACCCCGGACCUGCAGACCGGACUGCAUUUCCUGGAUAGUUCAGGGGCAAGCGGAAUUCCUGGUGUAGCGGUGGAAUGCGUAGAGAUCAGGAAGAACACCGAUGGCGAAGGCAGCUUGCUGGGGACUUAUCGACGCUCAUGCUCGAAAGUGCGGGUAGCAAACAGGAUUAGAUACCCUGGUA
This 449-nucleotide ribosomal RNA is filed under the name uncultured Fibrobacter sp. Its description in RNAcentral is "bacterial SSU rRNA". It matches the Rfam family "Bacterial small subunit ribosomal RNA", at positions 341 to 792 of the family's 1533-position model. Lineage: Bacteria; Pseudomonadati; Fibrobacterota; Fibrobacteria; Fibrobacterales; Fibrobacteraceae. The record is from RNAcentral.